Mastomys coucha (southern multimammate mouse) is the source of this 261-nucleotide long non-coding RNA. RefSeq lists it as uncharacterized. The transcript has 3 exons. NCBI's taxonomy places the organism in Eukaryota, Metazoa, Chordata, Mammalia, Rodentia, Muridae. The record is from RefSeq and is a predicted model, not a curated record.
UGCACGCCCACACAACAACGUUGCAGUUCGCUGACAAAUGAUCUCUAGGACUUUUCUCACUUAGCAAGUGUGCAAGCUCAGAGCUGUAAUUCUGGUCGCUUCGCGUCUAAUCUGAGGCCUCUCAUUAGACCACACAAAUUGCUGGAAGUGUCUCUAGCCAGCAGGCCCUAUCGCGGACCUCCACCAGUGUGCCUAGGAGAAAGACCAAAGCACUCUGAAACCUGAGGGCUGAUUCAUCAGACCCUGCCUUGCCACAGAUAA